CAGCCGUAAACUAUGCGCGUUAGGUGUAUCGGUGACCACGAGUCACCGAGGUGCCGAAGGGAAACCGUGAAACGUGCCGCCUGGGAAGUACGGUCGCAAGGCUGAAACUUAAAGGAAUUGGCGGGGGGAGGCACAACAACGGGUGGAGCCUGCGGUUUAAUUGGACUCAACGCCGGACAACUCACCGGGACGACAGCAAUAUGUAGGCCAGGCUGAAGACCUUGCCUGAAUCGCUGAGAGGAGGUGCAUGGCGUAGACGUCU
Molecule: ribosomal RNA, 262 nt
Filed under: uncultured archaeon
Lineage: Archaea
Description: partial 16S ribosomal RNA
Rfam family: Archaeal small subunit ribosomal RNA
Source: RNAcentral